Fundulus heteroclitus (mummichog) is the source of this 1835-nucleotide long non-coding RNA. RefSeq lists it as uncharacterized. Lineage: Eukaryota; Metazoa; Chordata; Actinopteri; Cyprinodontiformes; Fundulidae. The record is from RefSeq and is a predicted model, not a curated record. The transcript has 4 exons.
CAGCCUAAGCCUAUAGCAGCAUAACUAUAGAGAUAGCAUCUCCAGAAAUGUGGCCAACUAAAAAGUAUGAACAUGAAAAGUGUGAGCAUGUACAGCACUCCUUGGUUAGGGCUCCUUUUCCCUGGAUCAUUGCAGCAAUGUGGUGUGGGAUGGAGUCCAUCAGUCUGUGGCACUGCUCAGUCAACCCAACUUUAUGUUACUAAGCGUUCCGAACGAGGAAUGCAGUUAUAAUUCCGUGCUACUUAAACUAUCUGAGUGAUCAUCAUUGCCUUACUCAAAAGCUUUGAAUGCACAGAGGCGUGCAACGUAAUGACGUCAGUGCGUCAUAACAUCGACGGGAACCAGCCUGGAAAAUUCAAACCAACAUGGCGGUCAGGAAGCGAGUGAUUGCUCAAGUCAAGAAAACGUGCUGAAGUUGGUACCCAUACAAGGCUAAUGGUAAAUAAGAUCUGUGCUGAGUUCCACAGGAACCAAGAAAGAAACCAGUUUUAUGCAGAACUGGAUCGGAACAUUCCACAGAUCAUAAAUCUUUACUGAAGGAAGGCAGCUCAUACUGGAAGGGUGGCAGGAGCGGGACAUCCUACAGUUGUAUGAAACUAAGAGUGAGGAAUCAGAGAAGCCGGACAUCGGGAACACACCCAUUGGUAUUGUCACGGAGAUCAGAUGAAGAAGUGCAUCUCUACUUCACUUCAGUCCUGCAUCCACAGCCAUUGUGGUUGAAGAUGAAUUUCUCAUGAGGGACAUUACCACAUUUGCUGAUGCAUAUGUGUUACUGUUUGGGGUGGUUUAUGCUUUGCAACUGGACUACCCAAAGAAGGUUGUUGGCACCUUCAAUCUUCUUUCAGAAGGUUCUCAUGGGGUUGGAUGAUGGUGCACCCCUGAAACCUUCUCUGCUUUCUUUGAAAAAUGACCUGCUGUCAAUGUAGACACUAUGUAACUGUCCUCCCUCCCUCCAUUCCUUCCUUCCUUCCUUCCUUCCUUCCUUCCUUCCUUCCUUCCUUCCUUCCUUCCUUCCUUCCUUCCUUCCUUCCUUCCUUCCCCCUUUCUCCUUUUCUUCCCACCAUCCAUUAUGCCAUUUCCCUUCCUAGACCCAUACUGUUGUUUCUUUCUUUUCUUUUCUUCCCUCCUUUCCAUACAUCAUUUCUUCUUCCAUCCUGGACCCUAUCUCUUCUCUUUGCCCAUCCUCCUUUACUUCCUUUCUCCCUUCCUUCUUCCCACCAUCCUUUUUACUUUUGUCCUUGUUAUUGUUCUUGACAUGAUCCAAUCUGUUACUAUUCUCCAUCUUUCUUUUCUUCUUUGAUCCAGGUGGACAACAGGAAGGUUUUCAAAAAGGAUUUUUUUUCUGCUACAGGGAGAAUCAAAAUGGGUUUAAAGCACUGGAAGAGUGUGUGUGUGUGUGUGUGUGUGUCUUAGUAACACUCCAAAUAGAGAUAUACAUGAUGUAUAUUUAUUUAUUUUUUGGCCCCUCUUUUCAAAAAACAUUUUAAAUCAAUAAAAUAACUUAUUUUUAUUAGAUUUUUUUUUCUAUUUCUGUGCAAUGACUACAUCUUUAGAUGUACUUUUUUGGUUAUUUAUUGAAUUUAUUAUUUAUUCAUUUAAAGUUAUUUAUUGUCUUAAGUUACAUUUUUCAAGUAGAAAGGCCAUAGCUGUAAGUUCACUAGAAGAUGGUUUUGGAAGUUUUUAAAGGCCAUACCUUUACACUGAGUACAAGUUCCCUGUAUCAGUUACACAUGUUUGCAAAGAAUUUGUGCACACACCCAUACAGAUGUGUGUAUGUGGUGUUGGUUUAUCUACAGUUUUGGAGAAAAGGCAUUUGAAUAAAAACAUUGAAAAUA